This 465-nucleotide ribosomal RNA is filed under the name uncultured bacterium. RNAcentral's name for it is "partial 16S ribosomal RNA". It matches the Rfam family "Bacterial small subunit ribosomal RNA", at positions 28 to 507 of the family's 1533-position model. The record is from RNAcentral.
GACGAACGCUGGCGGCAUGCUUAACACAUGCAAGUCGAACGGAAAGGCCCCCUUGUGGGGUACUCGAGUGGCGAACGGGUGAGUAACACGUGAGUAACCUACCCUUGACUUUGGGAUAACUUCAGGAAACUGGGGCUAAUACCGGAUAGGAGCUCCUGCUGCAUGGUGGGGGUUGGAAAGUUUCGGCGGUUGGGGAUGGACUCGCGGCUUAUCAGCUUGUUGGUGGGGUAGUGGCUCACCAAGGCUUUGACGGGUAGCCGGCCUGAGAGGGUGACCGGCCACAUUGGGACUGAGAUACGGCCCAGACUCCUACGGGAGGCAGCAGUGGGGAAUAUUGCACAAUGGGCGGAAGCCUGAUGCAGCAACGCCGCGUGCGGGAUGACGGCCUUCGGGUUGUAAACCGCUUUCGCCUGUGACGAAGCGUGAGUGACGGUAAUGGGUAAAGAAGCACCGGCUAACUACGUG